AUGACGCUGCAUCCUUCAGUCAUUUUUGACAAAACAUUUUGGAAACCCUAUGCAGAUUCAGAGUAUUUGAAAAAGUCCAUGGAAGGACACAUUUCAGAGGCAGCUGAAAAAGGAGCUUGAGAUGUCUCAGGAGGAGGAAAGCAGAAGAGAGGCUGAGGAGGAGUCAAAGCACAUACAGAGGUGACCAAAAUCUCUAUGGGAAUGUCCAGCUCCCUCUGACAACUCCGGUGACUCAACCCCUGACCUCUGACCUAUUUGAAAAGCCUGCCGAGCCAGUCGCAGAGGUUAAGACCCUUCCUGAGCACCCUGA
Molecule: long non-coding RNA, 310 nt
Organism: Coregonus clupeaformis (lake whitefish)
Lineage: Eukaryota; Metazoa; Chordata; Actinopteri; Salmoniformes; Salmonidae
Exons: 3
Source: RefSeq, a predicted model, not a curated record